RNAcentral lists this ribosomal RNA (273 nucleotides) under uncultured bacterium. RNAcentral's name for it is "partial 16S ribosomal RNA". It matches the Rfam family "Bacterial small subunit ribosomal RNA", at positions 524 to 796 of the family's 1533-position model. The record is from RNAcentral.
UACAGAGGGUGCGAGCGUUAAUCGGAAUUACUGGGCGUAAAGGGUGCGUAGGUGGUUUUGUAAGUUAGAUGUGAAAUUCCUGGGCUUAACCUGGGGACUGCGUCUGAUACUGCGAAGCUAGAGUACUGUAGAGGGAAGUGGAAUUUCCGGUGUAGCAGUGAAAUGCGUAGAUAUCGGAAGGAACAUCAGUGGCGAAGGCGACUUCCUGGACAGAUACUGACACUGAGGCACGAAAGCGUGGGGAGCAAACAGGAUUAGAUACCCCCGUAGUCC